CAGCCGCCACGGGAAUACGAAGGGUGCAAGCGUUACUCGGAAUUACUGGGCGUAAAGCGUGCGUAGGUGGUGGUUUAAGUCCGUUGUGAAAGUCCUGGGCUCAACCUGGGAAUUGCAGUGGAUACUGGGUCACUAGAGUGUGGUAGAGGAUAGUGGAAUUUCCGGUGUAGCAGUGAAAUGCGUAGAGAUCGGAAGGAACAUCUGUGGCGAAGGCGACUAUCUGGGCCAACACUGACACUGAGGCACGAAAGCGUGGGGAGCAAACAGGAUUAGAUACCUCCGUAGUCCCUGUCUCUUAUAC
RNAcentral lists this ribosomal RNA (301 nucleotides) under uncultured bacterium. RNAcentral's name for it is "partial 16S ribosomal RNA". It matches the Rfam family "Bacterial small subunit ribosomal RNA", at positions 509 to 807 of the family's 1533-position model. The record is from RNAcentral.